This 253-nucleotide ribosomal RNA is filed under the name uncultured bacterium. RNAcentral describes it as "partial 16S ribosomal RNA". It matches the Rfam family "Bacterial small subunit ribosomal RNA", at positions 524 to 776 of the family's 1533-position model. The record is from RNAcentral.
UACGUAGGUGGCAAGCGUUGUCCGGAUUUACUGGGCGUAAAGCGCGUGUAGGCGGUUGCCCAAGUCGGGUGUGAAAGCCUUGAGCUCAACUCAAGAAAUGCACUCGGUACUGGGUGACUAGAGGACCGGAGAGGAUAGUGGAAUUCCCAGUGUAGUGGUGAAAUACGUAGAGAUUGGGAAGAACACCAGUGGCGAAGGCGGCUAUCUGGACGGUUUCUGACGCUAAGACGCGAAAGCGUGGGGAGCAAACAGG